AACACAUCGUAGUUCCUCUGCUUGUCCAAAUGUGCCAAUCAGCCCACUUCCUUGACGUGUUAACCCUUCAGAAGGCUGAACUGGUUCACUGACUUUCCAUGGUAAAAUUGGUGGGAUUGUUGAUGAAAGAUGUGGAGCUUUUGCAUCUAGAAACAUCUUCCUCAAUACACAAGCAGCAUCAUCAUAGUACUUGUAAGAGUUCUUCACAAAGCUCCAGCCAUUUACAUCACAAACAUAUGAACGCCCCUCACUACGCAAUAGAUCGAAGCCACAAACGGCUUGCCUAAAGGCUAUGCAAACUUCUCUAGCCAUUUGCUUCUCGGCAGGGGUAAGGAGAACAGGAUAUCGAACUUCUUUCCCAUCAGGAUUUCUCAUAACAACACCAUCAACA
This 391-nucleotide unclassified non-coding RNA is filed under the name Hevea brasiliensis (rubber tree). Lineage: Eukaryota; Viridiplantae; Streptophyta; Magnoliopsida; Malpighiales; Euphorbiaceae. The record is from RNAcentral.